AUUGUUCCCUGGGCCAGAGGCAGCGACAGCGAGGGGCCUCUGUCAUGUUUGGGCCACAGCCAGCAGUCCACCUUUUCUCCUGUAAGCACCUUCCUUUUCCAUCUGGGGAGGGAAGCUGAGAUGGCCCAUCAGUUUGACAGGCAGCCUUGUCCCUGGUCCCUUGGGGCUGCCUCGUGAUUCAUACCAGGAACUAAGAACCCAGUAGUUUCUCAGCCUCUGAAGUUGGGUGCCAGAGCAGGCCCAAUUGGUGUUGAAGACCUGGAGGGUUCCUGGAGUGCCACUGGUCCUCAGUUACCUUUGGGAGCCUGGAAGCAUGGAUUAAUAGCACCGAAGAAGAAGCAGCAGGGGUGACAAGAAAGAGAAGAGAUGCUUAAAAGUCCUUCUAAGUCACGGACCUCAUGCAGAACAUUCCCAUUCAAGGGUCUAAAUGCACACAGAGUGUUGACCCUAUCUUCAUGAAGACACACCAUGGCUACAGUAGACAGCACCUCACUCUGUAAUCUGUUCAUCGAUCUCCCUGUAGAGCCCUAUCUGGGUGUGGGUGUGGCUAUGCACUGUUUCUCCAUCCAGACACACAGACAAAUUUUCUCAUACCAGUCAUCAGAGAGGACAGGAACCCAGCUCCUGCAACAGCCUGAGGUAUGCUUUCAUGUCUGUCUGGCCAUUUUUGAACAAUGUGUUCAGAAAACUCUGCUUUGGAGAGUGCAGAAGUUCCUUUUGUUGAAGCACAGGUAGUCUGCUGUUGAACCCAAGAUUGACUCAAGGGAAUUUAAAUAGGAGCUCUUUCUACGAUGACCUCCAGGAAGAAGCUGAAAGGACACCUCUCCCCCCUUUUUGGUGGAAAUUAAGCUCCCAGGUUUCGGCACCAGAUGUCCUGCGAGAUCGUCUUGCCAGCAAGAACGACACAGGACACUCGGAUCCUUCUGCAGUAAAGCUUUAAUGCAUCUUGAGAGAGAGAGCAUAAGCUUACAGGGCGGAGACCCCGAACUCCCAAGAACCCAUCCCUUAUAAAAGCUGGCAACCGCUGCCUCGGACGUGUUACCCCCUGACUCGCUGUAGCUCAUCGGACCAUAUGACGCC
RNAcentral lists this long non-coding RNA (1080 nucleotides) under Cricetulus griseus (Chinese hamster). Its description in RNAcentral is "lncRNA (ENSCGRG00015035451.1)". Lineage: Eukaryota; Metazoa; Chordata; Mammalia; Rodentia; Cricetidae. The record is from RNAcentral.